Molecule: ribosomal RNA, 253 nt
Filed under: uncultured bacterium
Lineage: Bacteria
Description: partial 16S ribosomal RNA
Rfam family: Bacterial small subunit ribosomal RNA
Source: RNAcentral
UACAGAGGGUGCAAGCGUUGUUCGGAAUUACUGGGCGUAAAGCGCGUGUAGGCGGCUUGAUCAGUCAGAUGUGAAAUCCCUCGGCUCAACCGAGGAACUGCAUCUGAUACUGUCAGGCUUGAGUGUCGGAGGGGAUGGCGGAACUCCUGGUGUAGAGGUGAGAUUCGUAGAUAUCAGGAGGAACAUCCGUGGCGAAGGCGGCCAUCUGGAAGACAACUGACGCUGAGACGCGAAAGCGUGGGUGGCAAACAGG